GUUGAAACAUCUGUUCCCGAACGAUCACCGAAGUUAAGCAAUGUCGUGCCUGGCCAGUACCUACAUGAGUGACCCCUUGAGAAUACCAGGUGCUGUAAG
This is a non-coding RNA of Acanthosepion pharaonis, 99 nucleotides long. Lineage: Eukaryota; Metazoa; Mollusca; Cephalopoda; Sepiida; Sepiidae. The record is from the annotation of a GenBank genome assembly.